UNGGACAUGCACCUGUGCGGACGGGCUGC
This 29-nucleotide non-coding RNA is filed under the name Mus musculus (house mouse). Lineage: Eukaryota; Metazoa; Chordata; Mammalia; Rodentia; Muridae. The record is from RNAcentral.